This 492-nucleotide ribosomal RNA is filed under the name uncultured bacterium. RNAcentral's name for it is "partial 16S ribosomal RNA". It matches the Rfam family "Bacterial small subunit ribosomal RNA", at positions 29 to 507 of the family's 1533-position model. The record is from RNAcentral.
AGUGAACGCUGGCGGUAGGCCUAACACAUGCAAGUCGAACGGCAGCACAGUAAGAGCUUGCUCUUACGGGUGGCGAGUGGCGGACGGGUGAGGAAUACAUCGGAAUCUACUUUUUCGUGGGGGAUAACGUAGGGAAACUUACGCUAAUACCGCAUACGACCUACGGGUGAAAGCAGGGGAUCUUCGGACCUUGCGCGAUUGAAUGAGCCGAUGUCGGAUUAGCUAGUUGGCGGGGUAAAGGCCCACCAAGGCGACGAUCCGUAGCUGGUCUGAGAGGAUGGUCGGCCACACUGGAAGUGGGACAGCGUCAUGACUCCUACGGGAGGCAGCAGAGGGGAAUAUUGGACAAUGGGCGCAAGCCUGAUCCAGCCAUACCGCGUGGGUGACGAAGGCCUUCGGGUUGUAAAGCCCUUUUGUUGGGAAAGAAAAGCAGCAGGUUAAUACCCCGCUGUUCUGACGGUACCCAAAGAAUAAGCACCGGCUAACUUCGUG